CCCGGCCCGGGCGCCGCCGGCGCUUCCUGCUCGCGACUUCCUGGGGCGGCGCGCGGAGGCCCCGGCGGCCCUUUCACUUUCCUGAGGCAGCGGGGCGCCCGGCCGGGCGGUGGCGGCGGCGGCGGCGGCGGCUCGGCCCCUCCCCCUCCGACUCAUCCCCUCGCCGGUCCUCCCGCGGCCCCGGAGCGCACCCAGAGGCCCAGCCAGCCCGGGGGAGGCCGGGCGGGGACGCCGCCACGAGGAGACCCCGGGCCACCGCCGCUCAGGACUCCUCCCCGCGGUCCCCGCUCCUUGCACCUGCCUGCGGGCGCCCGGGCUUGAGUUCGAAACUGACCAAAGAAGAGCUCCCCAAGGACCCUUUGUCCUCAAGGUGUUAUGCUUGAAAUGACUGCACAUAAGCUCAGGACGGGGCACAGCUGGGAUGUCACCCUGGAGACUCUUUCUUGGCGCAGGUGUAAUGUUGACAUUUCUUGUGCGAAUCAAUAAAUGAAUUUCUAACCCAGUUGAACUUUUCAUAUCCAGCUUUUCGAACUCAUGACAUAGCGUGGGGACCGGUGGAGGUGUGCCCUCAGGCUGCCGCUGCCACAGCCCAUGGCCAGGCUUCCAGAGAGAUGAGUCCAGGGUGCCCAGACCUGGGGCCGCCCGCUCAACACACCUGCCUGGCCGGGCCUCUGCUUUAACUUGAGACUUCCACGCUUGCUUUGAAUUUAUUUUGAUUUUUAUUCCAGAACAAGUGGAACAGACCAAAUGAGAAGCACAUUCACUCUUAUCCGACAGGUGUGUCUUGGGUGCCUACCGGGGCCAGAGCGUGCCAGGCAUUGAGGCCUCAGUCAACUGGGGCCUUGCCUUUGCAGAAUCCACAGAGCAAGAGGCUUGCGGCAAGAGCGGAAGGGACUUGAGUUCAUGUCCUGGGGCGGCCAUAACAAAGACCUGGGGGCCUUAAGACAAUGGAUGUUUAUGGUCUCACAGGUCUGGAGGCCACAGGUCUAGAUCAAGAUGCUGGCGGGCCGUGCUCCUUCUGAAGCCUCCAGGGGAGAAUGGGUUUCGUGCCCUUCUCUCAGCUUGCCCUUCUCUCAGCUUGUGGCGUCGCUGGCAAUCCUGGGUGUUUCUUAGCUUGUAGGUGCAUCGCUCUAAUAGGCCUCCGUCGUCACCUGGCCUGUGUGCGUUCACAUCACCUCUCCGUGUGUCUGUGUCUCUGUGUCCCCCCCUCUUGUAAGGACACCAGUCAUGUUGGAUUUAGGCUGUACCCUACUCCGGGAGGACUUCAACGGAACUGACUGUAUCCGCAAUGAUCCUAUUCCCAAGUAAGGCCAUGUUCAGAGCUUCAGGGAGGGACAUGAGUUUGUGGGGCGGGGCAGGGCGGGAACGGAGGG
Delphinapterus leucas (beluga whale) is the source of this 1373-nucleotide non-coding RNA. The record is from RefSeq and is a predicted model, not a curated record. NCBI's taxonomy places the organism in Eukaryota, Metazoa, Chordata, Mammalia, Artiodactyla, Monodontidae.